This 465-nucleotide ribosomal RNA is filed under the name uncultured bacterium. RNAcentral's name for it is "partial 16S ribosomal RNA". It matches the Rfam family "Bacterial small subunit ribosomal RNA", at positions 28 to 507 of the family's 1533-position model. The record is from RNAcentral.
GACGAACGCUGGCGGCGUGCUUAACACAUGCAAGUCGAACGGAAAGGCCCCUUUGGGGGUACUCGAGUGGCGAACGGGUGAGUAACACGUGAGUAACCUGCCCUUUACUUCGGGAUAACUUCAGGAAACUGGGGCUAAUACCGGAUAGGAAUCCUUGCUGCAUGGUGGGGGUUGGAAAGCUUCGGGGGUUUUGGAUGGACUCGCGGCCUAUCAGCUUGUUGGUGGGGUAGUGGCUUACCGAGGCUUUGACGGGUAGCCGGCCUGAGAGGGCGACCGGCCACACUGGGACUGAGGUACGGCCCAGACUCCUACGGGAGGCAGAAGUGGGGAAUAUUGCACAAUGGGCGGAAGCCUGAUGCAGCAACGCCGCGUGCGGGAUGACGGCCUUCGGGUUGUAAACCGCUUUCAGCAGGGGCGAAGCUUGUGGUGACGGUACCUGCAGAAGAAGCACCGGCUAACUACGUG